RNAcentral lists this ribosomal RNA (324 nucleotides) under uncultured eukaryote. RNAcentral describes it as "partial 18S ribosomal RNA". It matches the Rfam family "Eukaryotic small subunit ribosomal RNA", at positions 1470 to 1796 of the family's 1831-position model. The record is from RNAcentral.
CCCUUAGAUGUUCUGGGCUGCACGCGUGCUACAAUGGCGCUUGCAACAAGUCUUGCCAACCCGAUAGGGUGAGCGGAUCUUUGAAGAGGCGUCGUGAUCGGGACAGUUGAUUGCAAUUAUUCGACUCGAACGAGGAAUUCCUUGUAAUCGCGAUUCAUCAUAUCGCGCUGAAUACGUCCCUGCCCUUUGUACACACCGCCCGUCGCUCCUACCGAUUGAGUGGUCCGGUGAGGCUUUGGGAUCUGAGCGGAAAGAGCGUUUCGCUGUUUCUGCUCGGAAAACUCAGUCGAACCUUAUCAUUUAGAGGAAGGAGAAGUCGUAACA